RNAcentral lists this ribosomal RNA (395 nucleotides) under uncultured bacterium. Its description in RNAcentral is "bacterial SSU rRNA". It matches the Rfam family "Bacterial small subunit ribosomal RNA", at positions 30 to 429 of the family's 1533-position model. The record is from RNAcentral.
AUUGAACGCUGGCGGCAUGCCUUACACAUGCAAGUCGAACGGCAGCGGACCUUCGGGUGCCGGCGAGUGGCGAACGGGUGAGUAAUAUAUCGGAACGUACCUUUCAGUGGGGGAUAACGUAGCGAAAGUUACGCUAAUACCGCAUAUUCUGUGAGCAGGAAAGCAGGGGAUCGCAAGACCUUGCGCUGAUUGAGCGGCCGAUAUCAGAUUAGCUAGUUGGUGAGGUAAAGGCUCACCAAGGCGACGAUCCGUAGCGGGUCUGAGAGGAUGAUCCGCCACACUGGAACUGAGACACGGUCCAGACUCCUACGGGAGGCAGCAGUGGGGAAUUUUGGACAAUGGGCGCAAGCCUGAUCCAGCCAUGCCGCGUGAGUGAAGAAGGCCUCGGUUGUAAG